Molecule: non-coding RNA, 26 nt
Filed under: Mus musculus (house mouse)
Lineage: Eukaryota; Metazoa; Chordata; Mammalia; Rodentia; Muridae
Source: RNAcentral
UGGUCAUUGAGUAACAUGAUACAGGA